Molecule: ribosomal RNA, 433 nt
Filed under: uncultured bacterium
Lineage: Bacteria
Description: partial 16S ribosomal RNA
Rfam family: Bacterial small subunit ribosomal RNA
Source: RNAcentral
AACGAACGCUGGCGGCAUGCCUAACACAUGCAAGUCGAACGAGACCUUCGGGUCUAGUGGCGCACGGGUGCGUAACGCGUGGGAACCGGCCCUUAGGUUCGGAAUAACUCCCCGAAAGGGGUGCUAAUACCGGAUAAUGUCUUCGGACCAAAGAUUUAUCGCCUUUGGAUGGGCCCGCGUUGGAUUAGCUAGUUGGUAGGGUAAAAGCCUACCAAGGCGACGAUCCAUAGCUGGUCUGAGAGGAUGAUCAGCCACACUGGGACUGAGACACGGCCCAGACUCCUACGGGAGGCAGCAGUGGGGAAUAUUGGACAAUGGGCGAAAGCCUGAUCCAGCAAUGCCGCGUGAGUGAUGAAGGCCUUAGGGUUGUAAAGCUCUUUUAACCGGGAUGAUAAUGACAGUACCGGGAGAAUAAGCCCCGGCUAACUCCGUG